This is a long non-coding RNA of Oncorhynchus tshawytscha (Chinook salmon), 326 nucleotides long. The record is from Ensembl. Lineage: Eukaryota; Metazoa; Chordata; Actinopteri; Salmoniformes; Salmonidae.
CAUCUGUUGUAUUCAGCAUUUCACUGUAAGGUCUACCUACACCUGUUGUAUUCAGCAUUUCACUGUAAGGUCUACUACACCUGUUGUAUUCAGCAUUUCACUGUAAGGUCUACCUACACCUGUUGUAUUCAGCAUUUCACUGUAAGGUCUACUACACCUGUUGUAUUCAGCAUUUCACUGUAAGGUCUACUACACCUGUUGUAUUCAGCAUUUCACUGUAAGGUCUACCUACACCUGUUGUAUUCAGCAUUUCACUGUAAGGUCUACCUACACCUGUUGUAUUCAGUAUUUCACUGUAAGGUCUACCUACACCUGUUGUAUUCGGC